This 253-nucleotide ribosomal RNA is filed under the name uncultured bacterium. RNAcentral describes it as "partial 16S ribosomal RNA". It matches the Rfam family "Bacterial small subunit ribosomal RNA", at positions 524 to 776 of the family's 1533-position model. The record is from RNAcentral.
UACGUAGGGGGCUAGCGUUGUCCGGAAUCAUUGGGCGUAAAGAGCGUGUAGGCGGCCCGGUAAGUCCGCUGUGAAAGUCGGGGGCUCAACCCUCGAAUGCCGGUGGAUACUGUCGGGCUAGAGUGCGGAAGAGGCGAGUGGAAUUCCUGGUGUAGCGGUGGAAUGCGCAGAUAUCAGGAGGAACACCAAUGGCGAAGGCAGCUCGCUGGGACGGUACUGACGCUGAGGCGCGAAAGCGUGGGGAGCGAACAGG